Molecule: ribosomal RNA, 468 nt
Filed under: uncultured bacterium
Lineage: Bacteria
Description: partial 16S ribosomal RNA
Rfam family: Bacterial small subunit ribosomal RNA
Source: RNAcentral
GACGAACGCUGGCGGCGUGCUUAACACAUGCAAGUCGAACGGUGAUGCUCCAGCUUGCUGGCGUGGAUCAGUGGCGAACGGGUGAGUAACACGUGAGCAACCUGCCCCAGACUCUGGAAUAAGCGCUGGAAACGGCGUCUAAUACUGGAUACGAAACUGGCCCGCAUGGGCAUGGUUUGGAAAGUUUUUCGGUUGGGGAUGGGCUCGCGGCCUAUCAGCUUGUUGGUGAGGUAAUGGCUCACCAAGGCGACGACGGGUAGCCGGCCUGAGAGGGCGACCGGCCACACUGGGACUGAGACACGGCCCAGACUCCUACGGGAGGCAGCAGUGGGGAAUAUUGCACAAUGGGCGAAAGCCUGAUGCAGCGACGCCGCGUGAGGGAUGACGGCCUUCGGGUUGUAAACCUCUUUCAGCAGGGAAGAAGCGAAAGUGACGGUACCUGCAGAAGAAGCACCGGCUAACUACGUG